GGCCGCGUGGCGGAAUGGUAACGCACCCCUUUUGCAAUGGGGAAGUCCUGUGUAGCGCAGGUGCAGGUUCGAGUCCUGUCGCGGUCU
Molecule: transfer RNA, 87 nt
Filed under: Erythrobacter mangrovi
Lineage: Bacteria; Pseudomonadati; Pseudomonadota; Alphaproteobacteria; Sphingomonadales; Erythrobacteraceae
Description: Erythrobacter sp. EB310 tRNA-Ala
Rfam family: tRNA
About the family: Transfer RNA (tRNA) molecules are approximately 80 nucleotides in length.
Source: RNAcentral